This 495-nucleotide ribosomal RNA is filed under the name uncultured bacterium. Its description in RNAcentral is "bacterial SSU rRNA". It matches the Rfam family "Bacterial small subunit ribosomal RNA", at positions 10 to 507 of the family's 1533-position model. The record is from RNAcentral.
AGUUUGAUCAUGGCUCAGGAUGAACGCUAGCGGCAGGCUUAACACAUGCAAGUCGAGGGGUAGAGGAAGCUUGCUUCUUGAGACCGGCGCACGGGUGCGUAGCGCGUAUGCAAUCUACCUUAUACAGGGGGAUAGCCCAGAGAAAUUUGGAUUAAUACCCCAUAGUAUAAUUGAAUGGCAUCAUUUAAUUAUUAAAGUUCCAACGGUAUAAGAUGAGCAUGCGUCCAUUAGCUAGUUGGUGUGGUAACGGCACACCAAGGCGACGAUGGGUAGGGGUCCUGAGAGGAGAUCCCCCACACUGGUACUGAGGCACGGACCAGACUCCUACGGGAGGCAGCAGUGAGGAAUAUUGGUCAAUGGGCGCAAGCCUGAACCAGCCAUGCCGCGUGCAGGAUGACGGUCCUAUGGAUUGUAAACUGCUUUUGUACAGGAAGAAACACUCCCUCGUGAGGGAGCUUGACGGUACUGUAAGAAUAAGGAUCGGCUAACUCCGUG